GCGGUAAGGCCCUUCGGGGUACACGAGCGGCGAACGGGUGAGUAACACGUGGGUGAUCUGCCUUGCACUCUGGGAUAAGCCUGGGAAACUGGGUCUAAUACCGGAUAUGACCUGCCUCUGCAUGGGGGUUGGUGGAAAGAUUUAUCGGUGCGAGAUGGGCCCGCGGCCUAUCAGCUUGUUGGUGGGGUAAUGGCCUACCAAGGCGACGACGGGUAGCCGGCCUGAGAGGGCGACCGGCCACACUGGGACUGAGACACGGCCCAGACUCCUACGGGAGGCAGCAGUGGGGAAUAUUGCACAAUGGGCGGAAGCCUGAUGCAGCGACGCCGCGUGAGGGAUGACGGCCUUCGGGUUGUAAACCUCUUUCGACAGGGACGAAGCGCAAGUGACGGUACCUGUAGAAGAAGCACCGGCCAACUACGUGCCAGCAGCCGCGGUAAUACGUAGGGUGCGAGCGUUGUCCGGAAUUACUGGGCGUAAAGAGCUUGUAGGCGGUUCGUCGCGUCGAUUGUGAAAACUUGCAGCUCAACUGCAAGCUUGCAGUCGAUACGGGCGGACUAGAGUACUUCAGGGGAGACUGGAAUUCCUGGUGUAGCGGUGAAAUGCGCAGAUAUCAGGAGGAACACCGGUGGCGAAGGCGGGUCUCUGGGAAGUAACUGACGCUGAGAAGCGAAAGCGUGGGUAGCGAACAGGAUUAGAUACCCUGGUAGUCCACGCCGUAAAC
This 724-nucleotide ribosomal RNA is filed under the name Nocardia sp. YIM 61604. Its description in RNAcentral is "bacterial SSU rRNA". It matches the Rfam family "Bacterial small subunit ribosomal RNA", at positions 66 to 807 of the family's 1533-position model. Lineage: Bacteria; Bacillati; Actinomycetota; Actinomycetes; Mycobacteriales; Nocardiaceae. The record is from RNAcentral.